Molecule: unclassified non-coding RNA, 622 nt
Filed under: Hevea brasiliensis (rubber tree)
Lineage: Eukaryota; Viridiplantae; Streptophyta; Magnoliopsida; Malpighiales; Euphorbiaceae
Source: RNAcentral
UGAAGCACCAGCAUUUGGUUGCAAAGAGAAAGAAUCAAAGCCAGUGAUCUUGCACAGCAGAUCGCCCAAGUCAUCAAACAUUUCAUGAUAUCCUGCGGCUUGGUCAGUAGGUGCAAAUGGGUGCAUGUUUGCAAAGUUGGGGUAGGUGACAGGCAUCAUCUCCACUGUAGCAUUUAGUUUCAUAGUGCAAGAACCAAGAGGGAUCAUACUGUGGCACAGUGAAAGGUCCUUGGAUUGCAACUUGUACAGGUAGCGGAGAAGCUCAUGCUCUGUAUGGUACAUGUUAAAGAUCGGGUGGGUUAAGUAGGGGCUCUUGCGCACAAGGCUACUCGGAAUUGAGCUUGAGACCUCUGGUGCGAGGGAUUCAGCAGUGAAGUUCACUGGCUUGCCACCAUUGAACACCUUGAACAGCUUGUCGACAUCCUCUAAGGUUGUGGUCUCAUCAAAGGCCACGGUUAUCGUGGUUGCAUCAACAACACGAAGGUUCAUCUCGUUCUUGCAGGCCUCCUGGGCAAUCGCAUUCGCAUCAGCGACCUUGACCUUGACAGUGUCAAAGAACGGCAGUUCCUGCACAGUCACUGUUCCGAGCUUCUUCAGUCCAUGGGCAAAGGUACCAGCCAGG